GUAUCUAUUAAAAGAAAAGACGGUUAGCACUCUUCUUGAUAAAGAUGGAACACAAUAAAAUUGUAACAACUACUUUACCACACUUCUUCAUGGUUGUUUCCGCAAGCGAUCUCGUGGUGUCCCCAAAGAGAAGAACUUUUU
Vanessa atalanta (red admiral) is the source of this 141-nucleotide small nuclear RNA. Lineage: Eukaryota; Metazoa; Arthropoda; Insecta; Lepidoptera; Nymphalidae. The record is from RefSeq and is a predicted model, not a curated record.